UGAGUGGCGAACUGGUGAGUAACACGUGGGAAACCUGCCCAGAAGCGGGGGAUAACACCUGGAAACAGAUGCUAAUACCGCAUAACAACUUGGACCGCAUGGUCCGAGCUUGAAAGAUGGCUUCGGCUAUCACUUUUGGAUGGUCCCGCGGCGUAUUAGCUAGAUGGUGGGGUAACGGCUCACCAUGGCAAUGAUACGUAGCCGACCUGAGAGGGUAAUCGGCCACAUUGGGACUGAGACACGGCCCAAACUCCUACGGGAGGCAGCAGUAGGGAAUCUUCCACAAUGGACGAAAGUCUGAUGGAGCAACGCCGCGUGAGUGAAGAAGGGUUUCGGCUCGUAAAACUCUGUUGUUAAAGAAGAACAUAUCUGAGAGUAACUGUUCAGGUAUUGACGGUAUUUAACCAGAAAGCCACGGCUAACUACGUGCCAGCAGCCGCGGUAAUACGUAGGUGGCAAGCGUUGUCCGGAUUUAUUGGGCGUAAAGCGAGCGCAGGCGGUUUUUUAAGUCUGAUGUGAAAGCCUUCGGCUCAACCGAAGAAGUGCAUCGGAAACUGGGAAACUUGAGUGCAGAAGAGGACAGUGGAACUCCAUGUGUAGCGGUGAAAUGCGUAGAUAUAUGGAAGAACACCAGUGGCGAAGGCGGCUGUCUGGUCUGUAACUGACGCUGAGGCUCGAAAGUAUGGGUAGCAAACAGGAUUAGAUACCCUGGUAGUCCAUACCGUAAACGAUGAAUGCUAAGUGUUGGAGGGUUUCCGCCCUUCAGUGCUGCAGCUAACGCAUUAAGCAUUCC
This 793-nucleotide ribosomal RNA is filed under the name uncultured bacterium. Its description in RNAcentral is "bacterial SSU rRNA". It matches the Rfam family "Bacterial small subunit ribosomal RNA", at positions 92 to 870 of the family's 1533-position model. The record is from RNAcentral.